UGGGGAAUAUUGGACAAUGGGCGCAAGCCUGAUCCAGCCAUGCCGCGUGAGUGAUGAAGGCCUUAGGGUUGUAAAGCUCUUUUGUCAGGGAAGAUGAUGACGGUACCUGAAGAAUAAGCACCGGCUAACUUCGUGCCAGCAGCCGCGGUAAUACGAAGGGUGCUAGCGUUGUUCGGAAUCACUGGGCGUAAAGCGCGCGUAGGCGGCGAUUCAAGUCAGGGGUGAAAUCCCAGAGCUUAACUCUGGAACUGCCUUUGAAACUGUAUCGCUGGAGUGUCGGAGGGGAUGGCGGAAUUGCUAAUGUAGAGGUGAAAUUCGUAGAUAUUAGCAGGAACACCGGUGGCGAAGGCGGCCAUCUGGACGACAACUGACGCUGAGGCGCGAAAGCGUGGGGAUCAAA
RNAcentral lists this ribosomal RNA (400 nucleotides) under uncultured bacterium. Its description in RNAcentral is "bacterial SSU rRNA". It matches the Rfam family "Bacterial small subunit ribosomal RNA", at positions 355 to 772 of the family's 1533-position model. The record is from RNAcentral.